This 511-nucleotide ribosomal RNA is filed under the name Calliptamus turanicus. RNAcentral describes it as "partial large subunit ribosomal RNA". It matches the Rfam family "Bacterial large subunit ribosomal RNA", at positions 1827 to 2600 of the family's 2925-position model. Lineage: Eukaryota; Metazoa; Arthropoda; Insecta; Orthoptera; Acrididae. The record is from RNAcentral.
GUCCUCUUGAGGAAUAAUUUGAGGUCCGGCCUGCUCACUGACAAGGUUUUAAAGAGCCGCGGUAUUUUGACCGUGCAAAGGUAGCAUAAUCAUUAGUCUCUUAAUUAGGGGCUGGAAUGAAUGGCUUGACGAGAAAUCAACUGUCUCUUAAUAAUUUUUAAAAUUUAACUUUUAAGUCAAAAGGCUUAAAUUUUUCUUUAGGACGAGAAGACCCUAUAGAGCUUGACAUUUUAUUUUUAUAUAGUUUUUGGUUAGUUUUCCUAUAUUUAAUGAUAAUGUUUUGUUGGGGUGACAUGAAGAAUAAAUAAACUCUUCAUUAUAAAAUCAUUGAUUUAUGUUUAUCAUGAUCCAUAAUUUAUGAUCAUAAGAUUAAGUUACCUUAGGGAUAACAGCGUAAUUGUUUUUGAGAGCUCAUAUCGACAAAGCAGAUUGCGACCUCGAUGUUGGAUUAAGAAAAAUUUUGGGUGCAGGAGCCCAAUAAUUAGGUCUGUUCGACCUUUAAAUUCUUACA